GCUGAUCCAGCAUCAAAAAGCCUAAAGUCUGAGUCCUGUACGGUUGUUCCAGCCGUUCUAACACAGAGAAAGAUAAACGUUAUUUUCCUGUUUCUAAGGUAGUCGGUCACAAGGGAGUUAAUUUAAAAAACAUUCAGGAAAAAGAGGAGAAAAGUGGAUCAACAAUCUACAGUUAAAAACAGGAGGUGUGAAAACUAACAACGCCAGUUUGCAGCGCCGAGUUUCUAACGGACGCAGUGAGGAAACAUGAAGCGGGCCGACAGCUGCUGGUGUCGGGGCUGCAGCAGCGUUUACCACCGCUCAUCUGAAGCUGCAGCAGCAGACAGGUGGAACGGUGAGCAGGACAGAAGGUGACACGCUGAUGGCUUUUCUAAACGACGAACUGAUGACGAUUUUACUUUGAUGCCAGAUGAAUGAGAACGCAAACGAAACAGAGCCAACAACAGGCUUCAUGGAAACAUCACAAUAAACAAACCGGUAAGGAAAGCAGCAGGAAGCCGCUUUGGAAAGUUCAAGAUGUUCAGACAUAAAUAGAAUAAUUACCUGGAUGACUAAUGAAAAUAACCAGAUAUUAGCAACAACGUGUGGGCUGCUACCCGUCAGAUCCAAAACAACCAGGCGGUUCUGAACCCUAACAAAAAAAUACAAAGAAAAAGAAACAAUUAUUGAGACGCUAAAUAUAAUAAACAUCAGGAUGUUCAGCCGUAAAAAGAGACGCAGGAGGUUCGACUUUCAGAUAACGAGAUCAGAGACUGAUGAGUGAUUAAUGAGCUUCUGCUUCUGCAGGACAACGUUUGAUUUUGGUCCAAAUCCAGACCAGAAUUAUUCAUACCUCGGAAGGUUUAAUCAGUCCUGAAAAACACAACCGGGAACAUGUUGAUCAAAUUAAAAGAAUAAAAACCCAUAACUUAACUUCACUGAGCCUGUGGAAAUAAAGUUUAUUACACAAACAGUUUGAAGUGAAGCGUUUCCUAUCAAACUGAGUCAUUCCCUGGAAACCGACUGUCAGGAUGAAAAGCCUGUUUAAACUGAUCAGCGUCACUUUUAAUGAUAAUUACCUGUUAUUAAAAACCUUUUAAAUAUCUGUAUCAGUUUAACUCCAGUUCGAAUAUUAAAUAAUGCAAUAAAUCAAAACAGAAAUCCAGAAACCUUUAAUAACCUUAAUUAAACGUAGAGAAAUAAACUGAGUGCGUUUGUUGAUUGACUUGUUUUGGAUUUUAUUUCAACCUAAAACCAGAAAUUAUGUGCAACAGUAGAAAUACUCCUACUAAUAUAAUAAUCUACUAAUACUUCUAACAUUUUACUUGAGUAAAAGUACAAAAGUAUUUGGUAAAAAGUCUAUUCAAGUACUGAGUAACUGAUCAAAUAAUAAAUCAUUUCAUGCUUAAAAAUUGCAUCAUCAGAUGAACCAAAAGGUAAAGUUCAGUGGAAAGUUUGGUAUUUUAAGAACCAAAAUGACAAUAAUUCAUAUAAAGAACAAAAAAUAACAAAAUAAAAUGUUUCCAAAUCAGUUUCUUUAAAUAAAAAACUUGUUAAACUUUAACAGAAGCUGUAGGUUUGAGUCUGUCUGGUGGAUUUUGGUUAAAAUAUGUUUGAUUUUCAUUAAGUGGGAAGAAAAUCCAGAAAUUUGACUGAAGAGUAGAGAUACAUUUUUCAAAUAAAGUUACUCAGCUAAAUGUUACCAAACUGAUGAGAAGUUUUAUUCUGACGAGGCUCCUGAAGGAAGUGUGACCGUAUUAAAGUUUUUCAGAAUAAAAGCUGCAUGUUUCUCGCUGUGAUCUGAGUGCGUCUGUAAAUCUUUCAGUGUUUGCGUUCCUGCAGCGUUCCAGCUGGACGUGGUGUUUCUGACUGAGCGCCGCGCCGCGCCGCAGGGCUUUCUGUCGGAGCGGAAACGCAGACGCUCACAGAGACAGCGAGGACGACUGCAGGGAAAAUCCUCUGAUAAUUACGCCGCCCUUCACCUCCUCCACUUAAGCUCAACAUGAUGGAGAUCAGAAUCAGCCCUGCUGCUCUGCAGGAAGCUUUCUCUCAGCUUAAUUAUGCUUAAGGAGUAAAUUAGUGCAGCAGUGACCCACGGCUGGAGGAAAACACCAAUAAAGCAGCUUUUAGGAUGUUUGACUUGUUUUUACUAAUCUGGGGGAAAUGCAGAAAUCCUCCAAAAAAGCCUAAAUUAAAGGAACCCAACCACAACAGAUUUAAUUUAUGAAGAAACUUUUUGUUUCUGCUCCUUUUGGUUCAUAAUAACAUCUAAUUUAUAAAAUCUCAGUGAAAUAAACUGAAGUUGAAAAAUUAAGAAAUGAGAAAUAAUUAUAACUUUAACGAGACACUAAUUAAACUCCAGCAUAGAUCAAUUUCUUUAGGAAGGGAAAGUUGUAGCUGAAAUAUAAAGACUUUAAAAUGUUUUAAUGCAGAAUCAGUAAAUCUGCAGGCAGGAAAAUUCAUGUUUUUUACGUCUUCAGUCUGUUUCUGUCAGCAACAUGGAGACGUUUCAUUCUUGUGUUUAAGAUCUAAAUGCAAAAUAUUUUAUUAUUGCUAUGAAUAAUAAUAAAAGUAUUAAUAAUUAACAUCCACUGUUGAUAAAGUGGACAGUUGUUAGUUUUUACCUUCCACUCAUCUCCUGGGACAUGUUACCGUAGCAACAGCGGGACACCGUUACCAUAGCAACUUCGAACAUUCAAAAUACAAAACCAUGUAGAAGUGAUCCAUUAAAUUACGACUCAACGUUCAAACUAUGAACGUUUCUUUGUGUUUUGGGAUGUAAUAAACUCGUCAGGUUAUUGAAAUAUGAAAUUUAAUUCAUUGAUUUUAAAUUUGGUAUUUUGAAAAAAACAAAAACAGCAAAUGUAAAAGUUUGCAAUUUUUUUAACAAAGAAAUAAAAUGAAAAGAAACAAAGACGCUCAUAUAAACUAAAUCCCUGAAGGGUGUUCAUUCAAACACCAAAUGUACAUUAAUAUGCAUAAAUAAACCUUAUUAGCUUAGCAUUACCGCUAACAUCUACAGUUUUCCUUAUCCCAGCCAAUCAGCAGCAGGUAAAACGAAUGGCGCUCUCGGAUUGGCUGCUUUCCUACCGCCAGCCAGCACAGCGUCAGGUUUAUUUUAUUUAAAAUAUUUUAGAUGAAAAAAUCUGUAAAUGUGAGAAUUUUCCACCAAUAAUUUGGAAUAUUGAAUCAAACAUUGUGUGAAUAUUUCAGCAGCAGUUUUAACUGGCUGGUUAGAAUAAAAAAGCUCUAAAUGAUUUACUAAAUAUUAAAUACUGUUGGUUCUUUCAGUUCAUUUCAGAACCAAACAGAACCAGGUAUUAAAACGUGGACAUAUUCAUGCAGGCUAUUGUUUCUAUCUGCUGAAUUUGGUUUUGCUCUGUUUAAAGUCAGCAGACGAUGCAGAAAUAAUCAGCAGUUUAUCAUCUCAGCUGUUUUCAAUCGGUCUGCUGCUUCAGUUCACAACGCUGAAAAUUCCCAAAUGAUGACGUAUCAGGAUUUCCCCGGAGAAAAUAGACAAUUAAUUAUAUCAAAAAUGUGAACAAAGGACUGACAUGUUGACUGUUUUCAAUACAAGACUCAGAUUAAAAACUCAAAUUAUUUUGACAGUUACUUUAGAGAGAGCAGCAAACAUGUUAAAACUCUUCAGAUUACAGGCAGAUGUCGACACGUUCGCUUCUGGAGGGAUUUCAACAUCGAUUACGUUCUGCAGGAUCCUCUCAAUCACGCCCACGUUCCUGUUGAGAGGCGUUUGUGCAGCUCUGCUCGCCGCGCCGCCGCCGCUGCAGAGGAGGUUUCACCUGAUCCCGGUUCAUCAAACAUCCAAAGCAUGCAACGUUUUUAACUUCAUGGCUGAAGCGUUAGCUUGUAUUUUUCUUUGAGGGGAUGAAGGCAGAUUGUUUUCUGUUCAGAGGUGAGAAAACAUGACGAGCUUUAAGUGGAUCGAACAGAAAAACCGGUUCUCUCUGCGCCUAACAAAGUUAUUUUAGGAGUCACAAUCAUUUACAGGGAUUUGAUGCUGCGGCACCAACACAGUUUCCUAAAAAGAGUUAAAGAUGUGUCACACAGCAGUCAGUUGUUAUAUUUAAAUAAAUCCAAUUUAACAGAAAA
This is a long non-coding RNA of Xiphophorus couchianus (Monterrey platyfish), 4089 nucleotides long. RefSeq lists it as uncharacterized. NCBI's taxonomy places the organism in Eukaryota, Metazoa, Chordata, Actinopteri, Cyprinodontiformes, Poeciliidae. The transcript is spliced from 2 exons. The record is from RefSeq and is a predicted model, not a curated record.